CUGCUGGUAGUGGUCGCGGAUGCAGCAUCAGCGCUGUUAAUUUCCGCGGCCGGGAAUUACCGCAGUCAAAAUAAUAGCCAGGCGCGGAUCGGAAACCGGCCGUACCCGGCGCACGGUCAGGUGCGGUGGUCGUCCGGCCGGCCGCCGGCGGGUCCCUCUGCGUCCCAGCAGCGCCUCUCGUCGUCGCCUAGCUCCUCGCUGCACGAGCACGUACGCGUCGAUCAGCAGGGGCCACCCCCCAACGCGUACGGUACGUACGGCCGCGAACGCCCAGUCGCCGGGCAGCAACAUGGAGGGGCCCGGGGGCGUCAGCUUCGGUGGCGCCCCUCGCGGUACGCCGAUCGGCAUCGCGCCGGUCACCGGCGUAGGACACGUCGUUCCCGGCCUGUACCACACCGCUGGGCGAUGAAUGCGGCCCAGCCCAGCCCCACCUCUGUGACUGUGAGCAUGAAUAUGAUCGCGCAGGCGCAGUACGCCAGUACUACGUACUCUUCCAGCUGCUUCAUUGCAUGCAUGCACCGCCCCCGCCUCGAUCGACCGCCCGGUCUCCGCGGUCCACGCCGGCCGCGCUCGCUCGCACGGGACGUACUCGUACACACUACGCUAACAAACAAGCAGACAGUACCGAUGUUUAGGUAA
This 639-nucleotide unclassified non-coding RNA is filed under the name Zea mays. RNAcentral describes it as "misc RNA Zm00001eb105650". The record is from RNAcentral. Lineage: Eukaryota; Viridiplantae; Streptophyta; Magnoliopsida; Poales; Poaceae.